This 388-nucleotide ribosomal RNA is filed under the name uncultured bacterium. RNAcentral's name for it is "bacterial SSU rRNA". It matches the Rfam family "Bacterial small subunit ribosomal RNA", at positions 29 to 416 of the family's 1533-position model. The record is from RNAcentral.
AUUGAACGCUGGCGGAAUGCUUUACACAUGCAAGUCGAACGGCAGCACGGGAGCUUGCUCCUGGUGGCGAGUGGCGAACGGGUGAGUAAUGCGUCGGAACGUACCGAGUAAUGGGGGAUAACGCAGCGAAAGCUGUGCUAAUACCGCAUACGCCCUGAGGGGGAAAGUGGGGGGAUCGCAAGACCUCACGUUAUUCGAGCGGCCGACGUCUGAUUAGCUAGUUGGUGGGGUAAAGGCCUACCAAGGCGACGAUCAGUAGCGGGUCUGAGAGGAUGAUCCGCCACACUGGAACUGAGACACGGUCCAGACUCCUACGGAGGCAGCAGUGGGGAAUUUUGGACAAUGGGCGGAAGCCUGAUCCAGCCAUGCCGCGUGAGUGAAGAAGGCC